This 117-nucleotide non-coding RNA is filed under the name Chlorocebus sabaeus (green monkey). The record is from Rfam by way of RNAcentral. Lineage: Eukaryota; Metazoa; Chordata; Mammalia; Primates; Cercopithecidae.
GCUGGGUGCGGUGGCUCACGCCUGUAAUCCCAGCACUUUGGGAGGCUGAGGCAGGCGGAUCACCUGAGGCCAGGAGUUUGAGACCAGCCUGGCCAACAUGGUGAGACCCUGUCUCUA